CUCAGAUUGAACGCUGGCGGCAGGCCUAACACAUGCAAGUCGAACGGUAGCACAGAGAGCUUGCUCUCGGGUGACGAGUGGCGGACGGGUGAGUAAUGUCUGGGAAACUGCCUGAUGGAGGGGGAUAACUACUGGAAACGGUAGCUAAUACCGCAUAACGUCGCAAGACCAAAGAGGGGGACCUUCGGGCCUCUUGCCAUCAGAUGUGCCCAGAUGGGAUUAGCUAGUAGGUGGGGUAACGGCUCACCUAGGCGACGAUCCCUAGCUGGUCUGAGAGGAUGACCAGCCACACUGGAACUGAGACACGGUCCAGACUCCUACGGGAGGCAGCAGUGGGGAAUAUUGCACAAUGGGCGCAAGCCUGAUGCAGCCAUGCCGCGUGUAUGAAGAAGGCCUUCGGGUUGUAAAGUACUUUCAGCGGGGAGGAAGGUGUUGUGGUUAAUAACCACAGCAAUUGACGUUACCCGCAGAAGAAGCACCGGCUAACUCCGUGCCAGCAGCCGCGGUAAUACGGAGGGUGCAAGCGUUAAUCGGAAUUACUGGGCGUAAAGCGCACGCAGGCGGUCUGUCAAGUCGGAUGUGAAAUCCCCGGGCUCAACCUGGGAACUGCAUUCGAAACUGGCAGGCUAGAGUCUUGUAGAGGGGGGUAGAAUUCCAGGUGUAGCGGUGAAAUGCGUAGAGAUCUGGAGGAAUACCGGUGGCGAAGGCGGCCCCCUGGACAAAGACUGACGCUCAGUGCGAAAGCGUGGGGAGCAAACAGGAUA
Molecule: ribosomal RNA, 764 nt
Filed under: Enterobacter sp. DHL-10
Lineage: Bacteria; Pseudomonadati; Pseudomonadota; Gammaproteobacteria; Enterobacterales; Enterobacteriaceae
Description: bacterial SSU rRNA
Rfam family: Bacterial small subunit ribosomal RNA
Source: RNAcentral